CCUACGGGUGGCAGCAGUGAGGAAUAUUGGUCAAUGGGCGGAAGCCUGAACCAGCAACGCCGCGUGAGGGAUGACGGUUUUCGGAUUGUAAACCUCUGUUCUCUGGGAAGAAAAUGAGUGUAGCUGAGUAGGAAGCUCUGGCUAAUUACGUGCCAGCAGCCGCGGUAUUACGUCGGGCGCGCGCGUGUGCCGGAUUUACUGGGUGUAAAGGGUGCGUAGGCGGCACUGCAAGUCAGAAGUGAAAUCCAUGGGCUUAACCCGUGAACUGCUUUUGAAACUGCAGGACUUGAGUGGAGUAGAGGUAGGCGGAAUUCCAGGUGUAGCGGUGAAAUGCGUAGAGAUCGGGAGGAACACCAGUGGCGAAGGCGGCCUACUGGGCUUUAACUGACGCUGAAGCACGAAAGCGUGGGUAGCAAACAGGAUUAGAUACCCCAGUAGUC
RNAcentral lists this ribosomal RNA (440 nucleotides) under uncultured bacterium. Its description in RNAcentral is "partial 16S ribosomal RNA". It matches the Rfam family "Bacterial small subunit ribosomal RNA", at positions 338 to 795 of the family's 1533-position model. The record is from RNAcentral.